CAGGCCUCCCCCUCGGGCGUAGCUCUCAGAGGCGGAGGCGUCCGGCCCCACACUUGGUGCCAACAAGAUCCCACAGCUAUGGGCCCGGACAGACGUGGGACAGAGAGACUGGCCAACUGGGCCCGGCGAGGCCACCCCCCAGCCGCGUCUGGCCCACGGUUAAGGCCAGCAAAUCAAGGCUGGAAGAAUGCUUGCGGAAGAAAGGAAACUAAACAGCGUGAUUUUUUUCCUUGCGACUUGGAUUUGAGGCCCACAGGCCCACCUCCUCCUGGAAGACCUCCGGACCCCUCGGCCCUCCGUUGGGCAUCACACCGGUGCCCUGAGAGCUCAGUGGACCCGAGAGCGAGUCCCACAACUGCCUGAGAGGUGGGCCCAGCCUGCCCAUUUUACAGGUUGAGGAGACAGAGGCCCAGACGGAACCAGGGCCAAAGCUUCUUGGACCACGACGUACCCAGAGGCGACCCAGGCCUCGGACCUCAGAGUCCAGGUCAGGAGAAAUGACCAGCGGGCACUGUCACCACGGAUGACACAAAAGGGAGGAAGCACCUGCUGGGCUCUGGUCAGAGGGAGGAUGGAGCCAUAUCUUCAGAUGCUGCAAACUGUUCCUGGUCCAUUUGAUGGGGCUGAGGCUGUGCCAGGAGCAUCGGAACCCCCCAAGGGUAGGGUGCCCAGGAUAAGCAGGGAGGCCAGCGGUUCUGGGGUGCCCCGAGCCCAGACCACCCAGAGAGAGGCUGCGUGGGAGCUGUACCCCACAGAAGCUCGCACGCUGUGCCUGCCAGGACACCGGGAACAAGGGACAACCCCACCAGGCCACAUCCGCUACGUCCUCAUGCCCAGCAGGCCAGGCUUUUGGGGAGAAGGUGGCCACGCCAUCCCCACAUUUUCCAUCCACCGGGGUGCUCUGUGCCUCACCUGCCUCUGUGACCUGCACAAAGCGCCCCCCAUGCUUUAUCCCCACCUGUCAGAACCGGGAGCUGGGGCGUCCCCUGAGGCCCACAGACGCCACUGGACCACUACCCGGGUGGGUAGGGGCUCUGCUGGGAGGAAGUGCCCAGGAUCCAGCCCCCUCCCCCCCCAUCCAC
Molecule: long non-coding RNA, 1082 nt
Filed under: Sus scrofa (pig)
Lineage: Eukaryota; Metazoa; Chordata; Mammalia; Artiodactyla; Suidae
Description: lncRNA (ENSSSCG00045026788.1)
Source: RNAcentral